UUGUCAUUUUUCUUCUUCUCAUUUUUUCAAUUUGAAGUCGAUUUUGCUAUGUAUCGCCUGUUCUCUUUGUUCUUUUGCCAUUCUUUUUUUCUCAUUUCAUCAAUUUUGGAAUCAAUUUUUUGCUAGGACAUUGAAAAAACUACUAAGGAAUUAAUGUUUCAGACAUAUUAUCAAACACCACAUGUGCAUCAAUGUGAAAAUCAUAUACCAACAUAGCAUGCAUAUUGAAUAUACAAUACGAAAACUAUAGUUCAAAAUAAAUAUUUCCAGAAAUUUCAAGGAAUCAAAAUUUGUAAAUGAAUUGCAUGCGUAUUUUACCUUUUUAAUAACUGUAAAAACUAGGGGUGUACAUAGGUCGGGUUGGUUCAAUUUUUACUAAAAUAAAAUCAAACCAAUCAUGUCGGUUUAUUAAAACUAUAAACCAAAUCAAACCAACAAAAAAUUUAUUUUUUCGGUUUAGGUUUUAGUCGUUUUUUUUGGAUUUUCGAUUCUUUCGGUUUUUUCGAUUUCUUUUUUGUAAUCUUUAGUUUUUAUAAUUAUAUUAUGAUCGAAAACUAGAUUAAAUAUGUUUUCACUCAUGUUCUAAUGAAAAAUCAUAAUUAUGAAAAAAUGAGAAGUGGAAAACUCUCUUGAAACUAAAAAGUGAGAUGAAGAGUGAAAAAUUUAGGUUUUAAGUUUAUAUUGGAUUUUUGAUCAUUUAAUUAGCAAUUAAUGGACAAAUAUUACAACUUAAAGACUCAGCUCUAAAUAUAUAUCUACACCUACUUUCAAAUUAUUGACAAUUACUAAAACUAGUUGAAAAAGUAGAUUAUAAUUAAUUUUUUAUGUCGGUUUGAUUUGGGUUCGGUUUAACUUUUUUUUUGUUAACACCAAACUAAACCAAGAAUGGUUGGUUUUUUUUGUCUAAUGUCAAACCAAUCAAACCAAAUCAUAAGUCGAAUUUUUUUCUCGAUUUGAUUUGGUUCGUCGGUUCGAUUUAACUUGACGGUUUAGUCUGUAUACUCCUAGUAAAAACUAACCAAAUUCUCUAACCAUCGACUGUGAAAUCUGGUUAAAUUGUGGUCACUGAUUGAAGUAGACGAUGCGACUAACAAAUAUCUGUGCAAAAACUUCAAAAACCAACAAUCACAGAUGCUAUUGAAGCCCCAUUAUCAGCAAAAUUGAUGAAUUAGACGAAGAAAUAUAAAUGAAAACUUACCUGAACUAAAAAAUACAGUACAUAUCUAGACAAAUUGAAAAGUAGAGAAUAAAAUUCAUUUGCUCCNNNN
Molecule: long non-coding RNA, 1268 nt
Filed under: Capsicum annuum
Lineage: Eukaryota; Viridiplantae; Streptophyta; Magnoliopsida; Solanales; Solanaceae
Description: long non-coding RNA (CANN_LNC009742)
Source: RNAcentral